UACGAAGGGGGCUAGCGUUGUUCGGAAUCACUGGGCGUAAAGGGCGCGUAGGCGGCUUUAUAAGUCGGGGGUGAAAGCCUGUGGCUCAACCACAGAAUUGCCUUCGAUACUGUAGAGCUUGAGACCGGAAGAGGUAAGUGGAACUGCGAGUGUAGAGGUGAAAUUCGUAGAUAUUCGCAAGAACACCAGUGGCGAAGGCGGCUUACUGGUCGGGUUCUGACGCUGAGGCGCGAAAGCGUGGGGAGCAAACAGG
RNAcentral lists this ribosomal RNA (253 nucleotides) under uncultured bacterium. RNAcentral's name for it is "partial 16S ribosomal RNA". It matches the Rfam family "Bacterial small subunit ribosomal RNA", at positions 524 to 776 of the family's 1533-position model. The record is from RNAcentral.